RNAcentral lists this ribosomal RNA (32 nucleotides) under Agaricostilbomycetes sp. TY-260. RNAcentral describes it as "partial 18S ribosomal RNA". Lineage: Eukaryota; Fungi; Basidiomycota; Agaricostilbomycetes. The record is from RNAcentral.
UUUCCUAGGGUGAACCUGCGGAAGGAUCAUUA